GCCCUCAUAGCUCAGUGAAAGAGCCACAUCCUUCUAAGAUGAGAGUCCCAGGUUUGAAUCCUGGUGAGGGCG
This 72-nucleotide transfer RNA is filed under the name Kastovskya adunca ATA6-11-RM4. RNAcentral's name for it is "tRNA-Arg". It matches the Rfam family "tRNA". Rfam says of the family: Transfer RNA (tRNA) molecules are approximately 80 nucleotides in length. Their secondary structure includes four short double-helical elements and three loops (D, anti-codon, and T loops). RNAcentral also lists the same sequence under 1 other name. The record is from RNAcentral. Lineage: Bacteria; Bacillati; Cyanobacteriota; Cyanophyceae; Coleofasciculales; Coleofasciculaceae.